UAGUAAUUUAUGGAAAUCCAUCCCUGCACACAACCAAAAGAAAGAUGAAAAUCACAGGACAAACUAUUGACACGGUCAAUCAAUGUCAUGAGAUUGCACAACUCAAAUGUCCGAUUGAAGACCCAAAAACAAGAGACUACAAUGAAUGAGAUUUUUGAAAUCAUCAAUCUCACUUUUGCAACAUGAACAAGAAAUGCCAAGCAAUGACAUGGUGUACAAAACUAUAACACAAAAAACAAGUUGAACCAACUAAACCAGCCUUCUUAUGUUAUUCAUUUAAAAUAACUCAUAUUCAUGCUUGGAUUUUGACAGAAGUACAUUCAUAUCGAUCAAAAUUAGUUGUAAACUAUUUUGAGAGAGCAUUUACCUAAAUAACUCAUUAUUGAGUAGAUGACAAACUUCAACCCAGCAAGUAUCAACCAAAACAAAUAUCCAUCAAUUUCAUGCCAUUCAAACAACAUAGAGCACUAUUACCUCAUUUUCCAUAUUUUGACGAGUACAUUCAACUUUAUACCAAAUUUGAUUGUGCCAGAGAAGUUUUGUUACUUUUUUCCUCAUUCCUCUAACUCGAAGUGAGAACAAAGACGAGUUUCAGAAUCAUAAUACUACAAAUGAGGGAAAAACAAAAGAAAAAGAGAAAAAUGACUAGAUGAUGAUCCACUAAAAGAUUAGGCUAACACCAGGGACCGAUAUCAUCUGCCAUAGCAUCACAAGAAAUUAUCCAAUAAUAAGUUGGCAACUGGUUAAAACAGACAAAAAAAUGAUGGUCAGCAAUUAUUAUGAUGCCCACUCAUCUACGCGAAUUUGACACACAAAAGAAAUUGAAAACCAGAAAAAAAAUAUAUGAUGAGGCAGAACUGGAAAGUGGUGUUUCCUAAGAAAAAAUCUCGAAAGGCUCUGUUUAGCAUUGUGCUUUCACCACCUCUUAUUCCUGACCUAGGUUAUGAGGUGCAAAUAAGGCACACCCCAUAUUAAAAAAUAAAUAAAUAAAA
RNAcentral lists this unclassified non-coding RNA (992 nucleotides) under Hevea brasiliensis (rubber tree). Lineage: Eukaryota; Viridiplantae; Streptophyta; Magnoliopsida; Malpighiales; Euphorbiaceae. The record is from RNAcentral.